RNAcentral lists this small nuclear RNA (162 nucleotides) under Canis lupus familiaris (dog). RNAcentral describes it as "U1 spliceosomal RNA (multiple genes)". It matches the Rfam family "U1 spliceosomal RNA". From Rfam's summary of the family: U1 is a small nuclear RNA (snRNA) component of the spliceosome (involved in pre-mRNA splicing). Its 5' end forms complementary base pairs with the 5' splice junction, thus defining the 5' donor site of an intron. Lineage: Eukaryota; Metazoa; Chordata; Mammalia; Carnivora; Canidae. The record is from RNAcentral.
AUACUUACCUGGCAGGGGAGAUACCAUGAUCACGAAGGUGGUUUUCCCAGGGCGAGGCUCAUCCAUUGCACUCCGGAUGUGCUGACCCCUGCGAUUUCCCCAAAUGUGGGAAACUCGACUGCAUAAUUUGUGGUAGUGGGGACUGCGUUCGCGCUCUCCCCU